Long non-coding RNA from Dreissena polymorpha, 483 nucleotides. RefSeq lists it as uncharacterized. The transcript has 2 exons. NCBI's taxonomy places the organism in Eukaryota, Metazoa, Mollusca, Bivalvia, Myida, Dreissenidae. The record is from RefSeq and is a predicted model, not a curated record.
AGCGUGCAAAUUUUAAAGUUUGUGUAUGACCCCAAAUAUGUCCCUUUACAUAUUGCUUUCAUAUUUUGCAUACUUGUUUACCAACAUGACCCAAACCUAUAAACAAGAGCAGACAACUGUAUCAAGCAUUUUGUAAGAAUUAUGGCCCUUUUUAUACGCCCGUAUAAAAUACGGGACGUAUUAUGUGAAACCCCUUGGCGGGCGGCGGGCGGAAGGCAUCACUUUGUCCGGACUCUAAUUCAAAUUGUAUUCAUCCGAUCUUCACCAAACUUGGUCAGCAGUUGCAUCUAGUUGAUAUCUAGGCCAAGUUCGAAUAUGGGUCAUGCCGGGUCAAAAACUAGGUCAUAGGGUCAAUUAGUGCAUUUUCAACGGCGCCACUUUGUCCGGACUCUAAUUCAAAUAGUUUUCAUCCGAUCUUCACCAAACUUGCUCAGAAGUUGAGUCUAGACAAUAUCUAGGCCAAGUUGGAAUAUGGGUCAUGCC